RNAcentral lists this ribosomal RNA (497 nucleotides) under uncultured bacterium. Its description in RNAcentral is "partial 16S ribosomal RNA". It matches the Rfam family "Bacterial small subunit ribosomal RNA", at positions 28 to 507 of the family's 1533-position model. The record is from RNAcentral.
GGUGAACGCUGGCGGCGUGCCUAAUACAUGCAAGUCGAGCGAACAGACGAGGAGCUUGCUCCUCUGACGUUAGCGGCGGACGGGUGAGUAACACGUGGAUAACCUACCUAUAAGACUGGGAUAACUUCGGGAAACCGGAGCUAAUACCGGAUAAUAUAUUGAACCGCAUGGUUCAAUAGUGAAAGACGGUUUGGCUGUCACUUAUAGAUGGAUCCGCGCCGCAUUAGCUAGUUGGUAAGGUAACGGCUCACCAAGGCGACGAUGCGUAGCUGACCUGAGAGGAUGAGCAGACACACUGGAACUGAGACACGGUCCAGACGCCUACGGGAGGCAGCAGUGGGGAAUAUUGGACAAUGGGCGCAAGCCUGAUCCAGCCAUACCGAGUGGGUGAAGAAGGCCUUCGGGUUGUAAAGCCCUUUUGUUGGGAAAGAAAAGCAGCAGGUUAAUACCCCGCUGUUCUGACGGUACCCAAAGAAUAAGCACCGGCUAACUUCGUG